This 406-nucleotide long non-coding RNA is filed under the name Homo sapiens (human). RNAcentral describes it as "non-protein coding MIR122HG:15". Lineage: Eukaryota; Metazoa; Chordata; Mammalia; Primates; Hominidae. The record is from RNAcentral.
GGGAGUUGGUAAGAUUUACCUGUAAUGCAUUAACUUCCUCAUCUCUUUUCAUCUUCCAUCUGUUCCUUCCCUUUUCUGUAUUUUGCAGAUUAUUCAAAGCCAAAAGCCAACAGAGCCCCCAUGGAGAAGUGGAGGAUGCUCAGAUACUGCUAUGGAGCCCUGAGAAGUGAAAUGGGUCCAAGCCCUUGCCCAGGAUAGAGCGCUCCAAGCGCAUCCUCCGGGGACCCUUUUAAUCAGUGAAUUGUUCACCUCUCACUGUUUCUUCCCAGCAGAGCUAAGAGACUUCUAGAGCCUCUUGUGGAUGGUCAGCGAUAGCCCUGAUUGAACAUUUGAGCAAGACCAGAUGCCUUUAUAUCCAAUAGAUGCCACGGAGAGUAGAUCACAACACAUCUAACUGCUGUAUCCC